Molecule: ribosomal RNA, 376 nt
Filed under: Staphylococcus aureus
Lineage: Bacteria; Bacillati; Bacillota; Bacilli; Caryophanales; Staphylococcaceae
Description: bacterial SSU rRNA
Rfam family: Bacterial small subunit ribosomal RNA
Source: RNAcentral
UUUAUGGAGAGUUUGAUCCUGGCUCAGGAUGAACGCUGGCGGCGUGCCUAAUACAUGCAAGUCGAGCGAACGGACGAGAAGCUUGCUUCUCUGAUGUUAGCGGCGGACGGGUGAGUAACACGUGGAUAACCUACCUAUAAGACUGGGAUAACUUCGGGAAACCGGAGCUAAUACCGGAUAAUAUUUUAAACCGCAUGGUUCAAAAGUGAAAGACGGUCUUGCUGUCACUUAUAGAUGGAUCCGCGCUGCAUUAGCUAGUUGGUAAGGUAACGGCUUACCAAGGCAACGAUGCAUAGCCGACCUGAGAGGGUGAUCGGCCACACUGGAACUGAGACACGGUCCAGACUCCUACGGGAGGCAGCAGUAGGGAAUCUUC